GGACGGGAUUGGGGAGCUUGCUCCUCAUGAGAGUGGCGCACGGGUGCGUAACACGUAUGUAACCUACCUUUAUCAGGGGGAUAGCCUCUCGAAAGAGAGAUUAAGCCCGCAUAAAAUCACACUGUGGCAUCACAGAAUGAUCAAAUAUUUAUAGGAUAAAGAUGGGCAUGCGGAACAUUAGCUAGUUGGCGAGGUAACGGCUCACCAAGGCUACGAUGUUUAGGGGAUCUGAGAGGAUGACCCCCCACACUGGUACUGAGACACGGACCAGACUCCUACGGGAGGCAGCAGUAAGGAAUAUUGGUCAAUGGGCGGAAGCCUGAACCAGCCAUGCCGCGUGCAGGAAGACGGCCCUACGGGUUGUAAACUGCUUUUGUACGGGAAUAAACCCACCUACGUGUAGGUGGCUGAAUGUACUGUAAGAAUAAGGAUCGGCUAACUCCGUG
This 446-nucleotide ribosomal RNA is filed under the name uncultured bacterium. RNAcentral describes it as "bacterial SSU rRNA". It matches the Rfam family "Bacterial small subunit ribosomal RNA", at positions 64 to 507 of the family's 1533-position model. The record is from RNAcentral.